GGCCCAUUAGCUCAGUUGGUUA
Molecule: non-coding RNA, 22 nt
Filed under: Arabidopsis thaliana (thale cress)
Lineage: Eukaryota; Viridiplantae; Streptophyta; Magnoliopsida; Brassicales; Brassicaceae
Source: RNAcentral